ACUAAAAUUCGAGCUGGGUCCGCCUGAACCACACACCACCCAACAACCAAAAUCCCCUCCCAGCGCCGCAUCCUCUCUCCUCCCGUUCCCCAUUCCUCCAGCUCCAUCGACGGCAGAUCCCGGCUAACUCCGGCCAGCCCCUGCCUUGCUGGCCACCAUCCCGACACUCCCUCAUCCUCCUCUCUCGAAUCCAGGCCGCAUCACCACCUCAAACCCUAGCCUCCGGCUCUACGGAGGUCAAGUUUCGACCUUUGGGUCCAUGGCGGCGGCGCGGCCGCAGGUCGGGGUGAGGCUGUUCGGUGACGAUCUUAACGCGCAGACCGCAAUGAAUCCUCUUUCUUGCCACCCCGCUCAAACCCUAGUCCCGACGCGGCCAAAUCCUAUCGCCACCCAAAAUCCGGCAACCGAGACCAUGUUGGCCACCGUGGAAGGCCAAGGACUGCUGCGAGGAUGGCCACGCGCGAGGAGGAAGGCGCUGCUCGCCGCCGGCCACGCCCCGACAAACAUGCUGCUGCUACCCCCCGUGAGUGAGGUUCAAAUCGUAUUUGGGCACCAAGCUGCUGCUUAUGGAACCAAGCUGGGUGGUACCUGGUGGCGAUGGCCAGCCAGGUGAGGAGGAGGCGGACUUCAUCGGUGACAUCUGCAGGGCCGCGUGGAGGCGCUACAAUCGCUGCUGAUUGACGGCAUCUAUUCACUAGGUCUCCCUAAAGAGAAACCCACUGACGGGGAGGUUGCCACCGCCACAAACAAAUCCUAUGUUGCCAUGCGUAUUUGGGUUCAACUGUGUGCCAUUGACGUGACAAGGAUGCUGAACUGCUGCUUGUCGCCUACAGCAUCCGCGUUGAAGGCCUCCUGAAGCACUUGCAUGUGCUCACUGAUCCAACCUGGCACAACUCUGACGUGCCAAUGACUUGCAGCUGAUUCAAAUCAUAUCAGAGGAAGAGAAUGAGAGACUCAAUGGCAUUGCAAGAGGAGGUCUACGGUGGCCGCCAAUCAGCUACGAGUUCAAUGAAUAUCGGAGCUGAAAAAAAGGCAUGAAGCUGGGGAACUAGGAGGCAGUGUGGGAGGGGAACCAGGACGAGCUGGUGUCAUCUCCGACACCCACAAGUGUGGCGAUGAUGUGAUCUGGUGGUACCAUAACUUGGAACCAUGGAGAUUCUUUGCGGUGAUGAGGAUAUUGGCGCCAAGGCUUUGUUGGGUGGUGGAGGCCAAGAGGCAAAUAGUCACCUACAGCAGCCGGAUGACGGUAUAGCCCAAGGGGGUGGUGGGUUCACGGCCGACAAUGAUCCUGCUUGGAUGAUGCCAGGCAGGAGAAUGGCUAUGCUUGGAAGUUGAUUGAUGAUGAGCUGAGCUUCUUUGACUAGUGAUGUGAUGCUGCAGCGGUACAUGGAGAUAAGCUUCUUCUGUGGUGCUUCUGAAGGUGUUCCUUGAUGCGGCAGCAGCAACAGCAAGAGAGAAGUAGAGCUGAUGGCCCGUGAUGGUUUUUUGUAUUUAAUCAAGUGAUGGUGCUCUUGUAGUGUUGUGGACUUGUGGUCUUAAAUUUGCUGCUAGCUGUGUGGUUCUCUUGUAACAUUAGUUAUUUUUAACUUGCAGUUUUCGUAGGUUAAACUUGUGGGUCGAAUUACAAGAGUGAUGCUUUUGUCACUUCUUAUUAUCAUAUAUUUAUUGUCUGA
Molecule: non-coding RNA, 1673 nt
Organism: Lolium perenne
Lineage: Eukaryota; Viridiplantae; Streptophyta; Magnoliopsida; Poales; Poaceae
Source: RefSeq, a predicted model, not a curated record